CUACCGGCGUCGAGAGGGCGGCGUGAUGGGUCGGCAGGGGUCAGCAGAGGGCACAGUAGGUCCCGCGACCGGACCGAUGGCC
Non-coding RNA from Limnochorda pilosa, 82 nucleotides. The record is from Rfam. Lineage: Bacteria; Bacillati; Bacillota; Limnochordia; Limnochordales; Limnochordaceae.